RNAcentral lists this unclassified non-coding RNA (200 nucleotides) under uncultured Hypocreales. Its description in RNAcentral is "sequence contains ITS2". Lineage: Eukaryota; Fungi; Ascomycota; Sordariomycetes; Hypocreales. The record is from RNAcentral.
UUAAGUUCAGCGGGUAUUCCUACCUGAUCCGAGGUCAACCUUUGAUAAAUUGGGGGGUUUUACGGCGAGGCGCAUCCGCUAUCCAGCUGCGAGGCAUUGCUACUACGCAGAGGAGGUCGCGGGUGUGCCGCCACUGUAUUUCGGGGCCGGCCGGUGGGGGCCGAUCCCCAACACCAGGUCCCGCGGACGGGCCCUGAGGG